GGUGAUUCACUAACAUAUGCAUAUAAUAUAUAACAUAUGUAAUAGCUAUCAUAGACUUCAUUUUUGGUACCUCCCAUUCGGCCAUUCCCUUGUUUUUCGAAUUUAAAGCAACCAUUUACAUACGUGGUUUGAGUACAUACAUGUGUGUGUGCGCGCGCAUAUGCAGGGUGGUUUUGACUCCGGUGCGGUGGCGACCGCAAACAUAUUGGAGAGUUCAAGUUCAACAGUCGGCGGGAAGCCGUACUACUUCUUGUCAGUGUUGACAAGAACCGCCGACGGAGACGAAGGCGGGAAGCACCAGCUAAUAACAGCCACCGUCAACAACGGCAAGCUUUACAUUUGCAAGGCACAAGCUGGGGACAAGAGGUGGUUCAAGGGAGCUAGAAAGUUUGU
RNAcentral lists this long non-coding RNA (393 nucleotides) under Gossypium barbadense (sea-island cotton). Its description in RNAcentral is "long non-coding RNA (GBAR_LNC004738)". Lineage: Eukaryota; Viridiplantae; Streptophyta; Magnoliopsida; Malvales; Malvaceae. The record is from RNAcentral.